This 373-nucleotide long non-coding RNA is filed under the name Phoenix dactylifera (date palm). Its description in RNAcentral is "long non-coding RNA (PDAC_LNC012924)". Lineage: Eukaryota; Viridiplantae; Streptophyta; Magnoliopsida; Arecales; Arecaceae. The record is from RNAcentral.
AAAGCUAUAACUUCUGAUCUAGGAAUACAAUUAUGGCCAUGUAUAGCUAUCUUAAGCUCUAAAGCAUUUAACAGAUUUUCGUCUGUGAGUGAUAAACUCAAAUUUGGAGAACAGUUAAAAUAAACUGGACAGGCUAGUUUUUACUACUGCAAAUAAGUAUGGUGAACCUUUUACAAAUUUACUUUUCCAACCUUCUGAGUUGGAUCCUGGGAGUUGCAUUACUCUAGAUAAGAAGGUAUCCUUAUACCAUAUAAAAUGCGGUUGGGCAUUUUAGAUUCAUAAUGAAGUUAAUAAUCUGAAUGAUUCAUAAUUCAUAGGUCAAAAAUAAGUUUGACCACUUUGGGUUAUCCUUCAUGCGAAGGGAACAUAUUAG